RNAcentral lists this ribosomal RNA (253 nucleotides) under uncultured bacterium. Its description in RNAcentral is "partial 16S ribosomal RNA". It matches the Rfam family "Bacterial small subunit ribosomal RNA", at positions 524 to 776 of the family's 1533-position model. The record is from RNAcentral.
UACGUAGGGUGCGAGCGUUGUCCGGAAUUACUGGGCGUAAAGCGCACGCAGGUGGCUGAGUCAGUCGAUUGUGAAAGCCCUGGGCUUAACCUGGGAAUUGCAGUCGAUACUACUCAGCUAGAGUAUGGGAGAGGGUAGUGGAAUUCCCGGUGUAGCGGUGAAAUGCGUAGAUAUCGGGAGGAACAUCAGUGGCGAAGGCGGCUACCUGGCCCAAUACUGACACUCAGGUGCGACAGCGUGGGGAGCAAACAGG